Molecule: non-coding RNA, 91 nt
Organism: Coniochaeta sp. 2T2.1
Lineage: Eukaryota; Fungi; Ascomycota; Sordariomycetes; Coniochaetales; Coniochaetaceae
Source: the annotation of a GenBank genome assembly
GGUCUGAUGGUCUAGCGGUAUGAUUCUCGCUUAGGGUACACCCUAAAGCCUAGCUUGCGAGAGGUCCCGGGUUCAAUCCCCGGUCAGACCC